GACGAACGCUGGCGGCGUGCUUAACACAUGCAAGUCGAACGGAAAGGCCCUGCUUUUGUGGGGUGCUCGAGUGGCGAACGGGUGAGUAACACGUGAGUAACCUGCCCUUGACUUUGGGAUAACUUCAGGAAACUGGGGCUAAUACCGGAUAGGAGCUCCUGCGGCAUGGUGGGGGUUGGUAAGUUUCGGCGGUUGGGGAUGGACUCGCGGCUUAUCAGCUUGUUGGUGGGGUAGUGGCUUACCAAGGCUUUGACGGGUAGCCGGCCUGAGAGGGUGACCGGCCACAUUGGGACUGAGACACGGCCCAGACUCCUACGGGAGGCAGCAGUGGGGAAUAUUGCACAAUGGGCGGAAGCCUGACGCAGCACCGCCGCGUGCGGGAUGACGGCCUUCGGGUUGUAAACCGCUUUCGCCUGUGACGAAGCGUGAGUGACGGUAAUGGGUAAAGAAGCACCGGCUAACUACGUG
RNAcentral lists this ribosomal RNA (468 nucleotides) under uncultured bacterium. Its description in RNAcentral is "partial 16S ribosomal RNA". It matches the Rfam family "Bacterial small subunit ribosomal RNA", at positions 28 to 507 of the family's 1533-position model. The record is from RNAcentral.